This 789-nucleotide long non-coding RNA is filed under the name Betta splendens (Siamese fighting fish). RNAcentral's name for it is "lncRNA (ENSBSLG00000000354.1)". The record is from RNAcentral. Lineage: Eukaryota; Metazoa; Chordata; Actinopteri; Anabantiformes; Osphronemidae.
GUGCUGACAUGUCUCAAACUCCCCCCUUCCUCAGUGAGUGAGCGGUUUGACCUGGUGUUGGCAGUUGAUGGCCCAGUAGACCUGCCUGCGUGCAUUUGAAUGUCAAAGAGCAUCUUGGAGCUGUCACGGCCCGCCUGCCACACAAGAGGAACUUCCCUCCAGUCCUCGGCGUUACCCACAUGGCAAGAGGAUGUGCAGCGGCUGAUGUGGAGGAAAGACAAUCAGCUGAUUCGCCGUGAGUGAACCUGAUGAAUGUCUGUCGUUCAUCUACAACACCUGGUUCUCCGGAGAAUGGACAUUAAAGCUGCCUCCAAGGAUGGAGACAGACGAGAAAAGGGGACUUUCUCUUAGAGCAGUCCAAAGAUGGGACCACCCAGGAUUUGCAUACUUGAGUAGAGCGGAGACUGAAGUCUUUGCUGCCGUCAGAGUGAUUAGGUGUGGCUGCGGAGGCCAGCUUCCUACCCCCAAUCUUCAGCAGGUCCUAAUUUCAUAUAGUGCACCAUGGGAGAGAGAGGGAAUCACUACCUUUCUUUAUUUAUUUGCUCUCCAUGUGAAGAUGAAAUACAGCACACAUUCACCACCUCCCCCCGUCGCCAAAAAAUAAAGGAGCGAGGAACCGAUAUUAAGAAGGCUGCAGGCGGCACUAAUCAGAAGUGGCGUAGCACUCGUGGAUGCCAGGCAAAGGGGAGGGGAGAGAGAUGACACCUCACGGAUUUAUUAGCUCCCAGUCUCCAGAGCUGGGUGAUUCCUGCAUAAAAUGGGCAGAAUAAAGAAAGCUAACCACCACCA